Transfer RNA from Camelus ferus (Wild Bactrian camel), 72 nucleotides. It matches the Rfam family "tRNA". Rfam says of the family: Transfer RNA (tRNA) molecules are approximately 80 nucleotides in length. Their secondary structure includes four short double-helical elements and three loops (D, anti-codon, and T loops). Lineage: Eukaryota; Metazoa; Chordata; Mammalia; Artiodactyla; Camelidae. The record is from Rfam.
GAGGGUAUAGCUCAGUAGCAGAGUGCAUACCUAGCAUGCAUGAGGUCCUGGGUUCAUGCCCUAGUACUUCCA